CUAAAACCUGCAGGACACCGGCCCUCCAGGCGUUGCUAUGGCAGGAACGCCUCUUUGUUCCAGAGUAUGAAGUGUGGGCUUUGUGUCAGCAAAUUCAGUGAAUAUUUGUUGCAUCGUUUGCAUCGUUCUGCUCGGAGCUGGAGCUGCUUCACUCGAUCGACUCUCCUUUGCUAAAUGUCGCUGCAGGAGGAUGACGGACUUGGAGUUCUGAAGCGAGGAACCUGCGCUCUGUGCGCCAACCAUCCGCCCCAACCUCCUCAUCAACAAACAAACUUUAUUUUCUAAAAGUGACCUGCAGGACCCACGAGGCAGUCCAUCUGUGUUCUCACAUGGACUCGCCAAUAUGUACAUCCAGGAGAGAAUAUAAUUGGUUUAGAAGCUCUUCGAGCUUGUAGGAU
Long non-coding RNA from Oreochromis aureus, 398 nucleotides. Lineage: Eukaryota; Metazoa; Chordata; Actinopteri; Cichliformes; Cichlidae. The record is from Ensembl.